AUGAUGACUGCCCCAAAGCAAUAUGUGACCAGUGAACCACAGCUCUCAACUCAAGGGCAAAUGACUCAGCUUUGUGAACUGAUUGACUGGAGUAGAGAAUUCCUUGCAAAGAACUUAUAUCAUCUGGGUAUUGUGCUUGGGGCUCCUGAUGUACAGGAACACCUUUUGAGGCUUCUUGCUGUUUUGUUUGUGAGGUCUUCUAUGCCUACUGUUCCUGACGUGGAAACACUAUUCUCACAGGUUUCACUUUUCAUCAGUACUUGUGAUGGGCUUUGCCAUCAGUUAACUAAUGCAUUUGUGGAAAGAAAACAGCCCCUGAGAGGAAUUGGCAUCCUUAAAGGAGCUAUAACAAGCUGCGGAUGAAUACAAACCAGCUGACCUGAAUACAUGCUGAUUUCUGCCAGCUUUGUUUGCAGGCAACAUGCUUUAAGCCUGCCCUUCCAGCUCUUGACAUGGCUAUGAUGGAUAUCUCUAAAGAGAAUGGAGCUGCAAAGCAAUGUUUAUGUUACUCCUCUCAUGGAGGGAUGACCUGCACCGGCUGAAGAGCACUUUACCUUCUGAACAAGCUGAACCCACUCUUGCCAUGUCAGGUCGUCAUAUCAUGUUGGAAUCAUGUAAAAAGUUGAUGAUAGUUUUUUUGCUAUUACUUGUCAGAGUACAAUAGCUACCAAAUAUAGAUCUCAAAUUACUGGUAUAUUCAUUAAGCUCCUUAGCAAUGCAUAUUAUGAGUUAGCCCAAGUCUAUUCAACCAGUAAUCUCUCAGAACUCCAAAAUCUGAACCUGGUAAACAAGCACAGUGAAAUUAUUACUUAUGAUAACAAAAAAAGGCUGGUGAAGCAACGCUUGUUAUCUCUUUAUAAGAACAACACUCAGUGGCUUACAAAGACUUUUUAGCUCUAUUCUUACAAGGUAUGGCAAAACCUGUGCAGACAGCUAGACCUUAAAAGGCAGAAAAAUAUGUCAAAGCAAGAUAGAAGAUGGCAAAAUUUUUGCAAGUAUUAAGCAAAAGAAUGGUAUGGUUAGUUUUUAUAAUGGCCCUGAAAAUUAUAAUAUAUAACCCAGCCAUGCGUCAUAACACUGAUCGGGAGAUGCUGAAACAGAAAGCACUUGAUAAGCAGCUGAAAGCCGUGGACCAAGAGACUGCAGUGAAUACCCAAGGUGUAACAAGGGUAUGAGGUCACAAGAAGAGGAUUCUGUAAAAGUCUCAUUACAACUGAAGCUAA
RNAcentral lists this long non-coding RNA (1223 nucleotides) under Homo sapiens (human). RNAcentral describes it as "non-protein coding lnc-TRIML2-12:1". Lineage: Eukaryota; Metazoa; Chordata; Mammalia; Primates; Hominidae. The record is from RNAcentral.